RNAcentral lists this ribosomal RNA (910 nucleotides) under Coniothyrium pyrinum. RNAcentral's name for it is "partial large subunit ribosomal RNA". It matches the Rfam family "Eukaryotic large subunit ribosomal RNA", at positions 36 to 964 of the family's 3401-position model. The record is from RNAcentral. Lineage: Eukaryota; Fungi; Ascomycota; Dothideomycetes; Pleosporales; Coniothyriaceae.
UAGCAUAUCAAUAAGCGGAGGAAAAGAAACCAACAGGGAUUGCCCUAGUAACGGCGAGUGAAGCGGCAACAGCUCAAAUUUGAAAUCUGGCGUCUUUGGCGUCCGAGUUGUAAUUUGCAGAGGGCGCUUUGGCAUUGGCAGCGGUCCAAGUUCCUUGGAACAGGACGUCACAGAGGGUGAGAAUCCCGUACGUGGUCGCUAGCCUUUACCGUGUAAAGCCCCUUCGACGAGUCGAGUUGUUUGGGAAUGCAGCUCUAAAUGGGAGGUAAAUUUCUUCUAAAGCUAAAUACUGGCCAGAGACCGAUAGCGCACAAGUAGAGUGAUCGAAAGAUGAAAAGCACUUUGGAAAGAGAGUUAAAAAGCACGUGAAAUUGUUGAAAGGGAAGCGCUUGCAGCCAGACUUGCCUGUAGUUGCUCAUCCGGGUUUCUACCCGGUGCACUCUUCUAUAGGCAGGCCAGCAUCAGUUUGGGCGGUUGGAUAAAGGUCUCUGUCAUGUACCUCCUUUCGGGGAGAACUUAUAGGGGAGACGACAUGCAACCAGCCUGGACUGAGGUCCGCGCAUCUGCUAGGAUGCUGGCGUAAUGGCUGUAAGCGGCCCGUCUUGAAACACGGACCAAGGAGUCUAACAUCUAUGCGAGUGUUUGGGUGUCAAGCCCGAGCGCGUAAUGAAAGUGAACGGAGGUGGGAACCUUUCGGGGUGCACCAUCGACCGAUCCUGAUGUCUUCGGAUGGAUUUGAGUAAGAGCAUAGCUGUUGGGACCCGAAAGAUGGUGAACUAUGCUUGAAUAGGGUGAAGCCAGAGGAAACUCUGGUGGAGGCUCGCAGCGGUUCUGACGUGCAAAUCGAUCGUCAAAUUUGGGCAUAGGGGCGAAAGACUAAUCGAACUAUCUAGUAGCUGGUUCCUGCCGA